UUUAGARKUUUAUCMUGGCUCAGGACGAACGCUGGCGGCGUGCCUAAUACAUGCAAGUCGAACGAACUCUGGUAUUGAUUGGUGCUUGCAUCAUGAUUUACAUUUGAGUGAGUGGCGAACUGGUGAGUAACACGUGGGAAACCUGCCCAGAAGCGGGGGAUAACACCUGGAAACAGAUGCUAAUACCGCAUAACAACUUGGACCGCAUGGUCCGAGUUUGAAAGAUGGCUUCGGCUAUCACUUUUGGAUGGYCCCGCGGCGUAUUAGCUAGAUGGUGRGGUAACGGCUCACCAUGGCAAUGAUACGUAGCCGACCUGAGAGGGUAAUCGGCCACAUUGGGACUGAGACACGGCCCAAACUCCUACGGGAGGCAGCAGUAGGGAAUCUUCCACAAUGGACGAAAGUCUGAUGGAGCAACGCCGCGUGAGUGAAGAAGGGUUUCGGCUCGUAAAACUCUGUUGUUAAAGAAGAACAUAUCUGAGAGUAACUGUUCAGGUAUUGACGGUAUUUAACCAGAAAGCCACGGCUAACUACGUGCCAGCAGCCGCGGUAAUACGUAGGUGGCAAGCGUUGUCCGGAUUUAUUGGGCGUAAAGCGAGCGCAGGCGGUUUUUUAAGUCUGAUGUGAAAGCCUUCGGCUCAACCGAAGAAGUGCAUCGGAAACUGGGAAACUUGAGUGCAGAAGAGGACAGUGGAACUCCAUGUGUAGCGGUGAAAUGCGUAGAUAUAUGGAAGAACACCAGUGGCGAAGGCGGCUGUCGGUCUGUAACKACGCKAGGYGAAAGKWUGKG
RNAcentral lists this ribosomal RNA (790 nucleotides) under bacterium. RNAcentral's name for it is "bacterial SSU rRNA". The record is from RNAcentral.